CUGAUGAAUAUUUCAAGUUACUGACAUCUGCCCGGCAUCAAUGAUAAACGGCGGCUGUAUUUUAAACGGUCCUAAGGUAGCAAAAUUCCUUGUCGGGUAAUCUCCGUCCUGCAUGAACGGUGUAACGACUUCCCCAUUGUCGCUAGUGUGAGACUCCUAAUAAAUAGAAUUAUCCAUGAAUAUGUGGAAUCAUACGGCCCGACGGUAAGACCCUGAGCACCUUAACUUCCCUAAAAGUUCUUAUGUGUUGGCAUGGUUACGAGAUUUAAGGAU
This 273-nucleotide non-coding RNA is filed under the name Plasmodium falciparum Dd2. RNAcentral describes it as "Bacterial large subunit ribosomal RNA". It matches the Rfam family "Bacterial large subunit ribosomal RNA", at positions 1832 to 2156 of the family's 2925-position model. The record is from Rfam by way of RNAcentral. Lineage: Eukaryota; Apicomplexa; Aconoidasida; Haemosporida; Plasmodiidae.